UUAAAUUGAAGAGUUUGAUCAUGGCUCAGAUUGAACGCUGGCGGCAGGCCUAACACAUGCAAGUCGAACGGUAACAGGAAGCAGCUUGCUGCUUCGCUGACGAGUGGCGGACGGGUGAGUAAUGUCUGGGAAACUGCCUGAUGGAGGGGGAUAACUACUGGAAACGGUAGCUAAUACCGCAUAACGUCGCAAGACCAAAGAGGGGGACCUUCGGGCCUCUUGCCAUCGGAUGUGCCCAGAUGGGAUUAGCUUGUUGGUGGGGUAACGGCUCACCAAGGCGACGAUCCCUAGCUGGUCUGAGAGGAUGACCAGCCACACUGGAACUGAGACACGGUCCAGACUCCUACGGGAGGCAGCAGUGGGGAAUAUUGCACAAUGGGCGCAAGCCUGAUGCAGCCAUGC
Molecule: ribosomal RNA, 402 nt
Filed under: Escherichia coli
Lineage: Bacteria; Pseudomonadati; Pseudomonadota; Gammaproteobacteria; Enterobacterales; Enterobacteriaceae
Description: bacterial SSU rRNA
Rfam family: Bacterial small subunit ribosomal RNA
Source: RNAcentral